RNAcentral lists this ribosomal RNA (461 nucleotides) under uncultured bacterium. RNAcentral describes it as "partial 16S ribosomal RNA". It matches the Rfam family "Bacterial small subunit ribosomal RNA", at positions 338 to 795 of the family's 1533-position model. The record is from RNAcentral.
CCUACGGGUGGCAGCAGUGAGGAAUAUUGGUCAAUGGGCGCAAGCCUGAACCAGCCAAGUCGCGUGAGGGAUGACGGUCCUAUGGAUUGUAAACCUCUUUUGUCGGGGAGCAAGGCCCGCCACGUGUGGCGGGAAGGAGAGUACCCGAAGAAAAAGCAUCGGCUAACUCCGUGCCAGCAGCCGCGGUAAUACGGAGGGUGCAAGCGUUGUCCGGAAUCAUUUGGCGUAAAGAGUUCGUAGGCGGCAUGUAAAGUCAGGUGUUAAAGGCGCAGGCUCAACCUGUGUAUGGCACUUGAUACUUGCAAGAUGGAAUGCGGUAGAGGUAAAGGGAAGUGCUGGUGUAGCGGUGAAAUGCUUAGAUAUCAGGAGGAACAUCGGUGGCGUAAGCGCUUUACUGGGCCGUAAUUGACGCUGAGGAACGAAAGCCAGGGUAGCAAAUGGGAUUAGAUACCCUAGUAGUC